CACAUCCCGCUCCGUCUGGGGAAGACAAACAGUGAGGGGGGGGGGGGCACCAUCUCCCUACACUCCCCUCAUGGGGACACCAGGUAAGUGCCCCCCAUAAUCCUGCCCUCCUAGAAGUCCUCCUAGGUUCCCCUGGCCAAGCCCCUCAGUGUAAGCUCCUCCUGCUUUAUGGGCAUGCCUCUUAGGUGUCAUGACCCAAAGGUCUGAUUUUUUUGUGUGCUUCGGCACUAAGAAUUAUCCCCGUGCGUUUACAGCUUCAUUGCACGGAGGAGUUCUGCUGCGCAGAGAACCUGCGUGCAAAGGAGUGUUCCUGCCACUUUGUAGCGGUCUUUGCAGGGUGCAUUUUCUCUGCAACACAGAAAUGCAUGGUGCAAAGGAGUUCCCGCUCUUCGCAUGCAAAUCUGUGCCCCGCAAUUGGCUAGUGCUAAAUUAUUCCCACGUUGCGGCUAGCGAUUGGCCUGCUAGCCGUAUAAGAGGCUCGAGCAAUUUCCGCCCAAGCUGAAGAGGACUCCGCAUCCAUCUCGUGGGGACUCUGGGUGUGCGCGGCAGGGUAAUAGAAACCCUGUGUGUUGCUCAGAGGAGUUUGGCGGCCUGAUCCACCGCCCACCUCUUCCCGUCUUCGAACGGAACCUUCUAUAAGACGUAUUGACGAGUUUUAUGCGCGCUUGUCCUGGACAUCCGGAGUUCUGUCUGCGUGGAGUCUAGCAAACUCCACGUGAUUGUUCGAGUUCUGUCUGCGUGGAGCCUAGCAAACUCCACGCGUGUUCGUGUUUUCUGUUGUAACCGCAACUCAAGCAAGUUCUCAGCCUGCACCGCGACCAUCUCGGUCCCUGCAGACUGUUUUUAGCCCUAGCUAAAAGCCUUAACUCAGGUGUUGUCACGUUAACUCUGUUGUGGAAGGGGCUGACAGUGAAGCACUGGAGGCACUGUCAAGAUGCUGAAGAAGAUUAAAUUUGGUUUUGAUGACUACAA
This is a long non-coding RNA of Alligator mississippiensis (American alligator), 972 nucleotides long. RefSeq lists it as uncharacterized. Lineage: Eukaryota; Metazoa; Chordata; Crocodylia; Alligatoridae. The transcript has 2 exons. The record is from RefSeq and is a predicted model, not a curated record.